CCCUUAGAUGUUCUGGGCCGCACGCGUGCUACACUGAUGCAUUCAACGAGUCUAAAACCUGGUCUGAGAGGGCUGGGUAAUCUUUUGAAAGUGCAUCGUGAUUGGGAUAGAUGAUUGCAAUUCUUCAUCUUCAACGAGGAAUGCCUAGUAAACGCAAGUCAUCAGCUUGCAUUGAUUACGUCCCUGCCCUUUGUACACACCGCCCGUCGCUCCUACCGAUUGAACGAUCCGAUGAAAACUGUGGAUUGAGAGUCUGAGUGGGUUCGCCUACCUCAACUUUCGAGAAGCGGUUUAAAUCUUAUCGUUUAGAGGAAGGAGAAGUCGUAACA
This 329-nucleotide ribosomal RNA is filed under the name uncultured eukaryote. RNAcentral describes it as "partial 18S ribosomal RNA". It matches the Rfam family "Eukaryotic small subunit ribosomal RNA", at positions 1470 to 1796 of the family's 1831-position model. The record is from RNAcentral.